UACGUAGGGUGCGAGCGUUAACCGGAAUUACUGGGCGUAAAGCGUGCGCAGGCGGUUUUGUAAGCCAGAUGUGAAAUCCCCGGGCUUAACCUGGGAAUGGCAUUUGGGACUUCAAGGCUCGAGUGCGGCAGAGGAGACUGGAAUUCCUGGUGUAGCAGUGAAAUGCGUAGAUAUCAGGAGGAACACCGAUGGCGAAGGCAGGUCUCUGGGCUGACACUGACGCUCAUGCACGAAAGCGUGGGGAGCAAACAGG
RNAcentral lists this ribosomal RNA (253 nucleotides) under uncultured bacterium. RNAcentral's name for it is "partial 16S ribosomal RNA". It matches the Rfam family "Bacterial small subunit ribosomal RNA", at positions 524 to 776 of the family's 1533-position model. The record is from RNAcentral.